GGCUACUAUUAAAAAAUAUAAAAUAGUAAGUGUUGUCAAAGUACGUAGAGAAACUAGAAUGCUUGUACACUGGUGGUGGGAAUGUAAAAUGGUACAGCUGCCAGUGCAAUGCGCAAUCACGGCUCACUGCAAUCCCCACCUCCCAGGCUCAAGCGAUUCUCCUGCCUCAGCCUCCUGAGUAGCUGGGAUUAUAGGCGUGCACCACCAUGUCCAGCUAAUUUUGUAUUUUUAUUAGAGACGGGGGUUUCACCAUGUUGGUCAGGCUGGUCUCGAACUCCUGACCUCAGGUGAUCCACCCACCUCAGCCUCCCAAAGUGCUGGGAUUACAGGU
Molecule: long non-coding RNA, 331 nt
Filed under: Pan troglodytes (chimpanzee)
Lineage: Eukaryota; Metazoa; Chordata; Mammalia; Primates; Hominidae
Description: long non-coding RNA NONPTRT001497
Source: RNAcentral